Molecule: long non-coding RNA, 228 nt
Organism: Haliotis rubra (blacklip abalone)
Lineage: Eukaryota; Metazoa; Mollusca; Gastropoda; Lepetellida; Haliotidae
Exons: 3
Source: RefSeq, a predicted model, not a curated record
GAGACCUGCCAAUAUUUGAGCGGGUGGUAAGGGGCUGGGUUAUAGGGGCAGAGACCUGCCAUUUAUUUGAGUGGGUGGUAAGGGGUUGGGUUACAGGGACAGAGACCUGUCAUUUACUUGAGAGGGAGGUAAGGGGCUGGGUUAGAGGGACAGAGACCUGCCAUUAUUUGAGUGGGUGGUAAGGGGUUGGGUAGACUAAGGCUUAGUCUCUGAAUAUAUAUAAUUUUG